This 104-nucleotide small nucleolar RNA is filed under the name Hordeum vulgare subsp. vulgare (domesticated barley). Its description in RNAcentral is "Small nucleolar RNA Z159/U59". It matches the Rfam family "Small nucleolar RNA Z159/U59". Rfam says of the family: This family consists of several snoRNA Z159 or U59 sequences which are members of the C/D class of snoRNA which contain the C (UGAUGA) and D (CUGA) box motifs. This family seems to be found exclusively in rice. C/D box small nucleolar RNAs are known to act as a methylation guides for 18S ribosomal RNA in plants. The record is from Rfam by way of RNAcentral. Lineage: Eukaryota; Viridiplantae; Streptophyta; Magnoliopsida; Poales; Poaceae.
CUGUCUGAUGAUGAUCAAACUAAAUACUUUUGUUCUUCUGAUGUGGUAUCUCAUAUUCUCAUGGCGCUGUGCGGAAGGAAUCUGGAGACCUGAAUUGAGGAGAC